UUUUUAGCCAAAAAAUAAUAUUUUGGUCUUUUUUUCUGGGGAAGUCCUUUUUUUUCUCUAGAUGAAUAGAUAGAACCAUAAAAGUUUUCACAUUAGAAGCUCCAAGAGCCCCCCGAUCCCGUUGCGCAAUUACCCUCUAUGCAUGCCUCGUCGAUGUAAUGCCUACAAAAGUAGGGAUCUACAUGCAAAAACCUCGCCGCAAUCCAAAACGCGUAAACCUCAUCCGGAAGGAAGCCGCAGAAGAAGAAGAAACUCAGCAAAGAAUUAUCAGCGGCGUCGUACAGGGGAGCGAGGGAUACGAGAGAAGGAAACAAUGACGACUCGGAGAGAGAACGUUGAACAGGUAUGAUCGACUCGUCGUCGUCACAUGACGUCACGGGACCCGCGGCGGGGGGAUCGGCGGCGGCGGCGGGCGGCGAGUUUCAGGUGGCCGGUGUCGUCGAGCCUCUCCUUCUCGGCGGGGACAAUUUCGCAGUCGGGGAAGGCGUCGGAGUAGCGGAACGAGUCGUAGCAGAAGGAGUAGAUCAGGUUCUUCUCCCUGAACCUCGCCAUGGCGCGGCGGCGCUGGGGAUCGACGGUGGCGAAGUCGCUGGCGAGAAGCUCCGCCUCCGCCGCGGCGCAGCGGCUGCCGGAGCUGGGCAGCAUCUGGAUGGGGUCGACCUUGCAGCCCGAGAGGACGAGGUCGGAGAAAUCGGCCGCGAAGGGGGCGGAGUUGUAGUCCACCUUGUACCUCCCACCGCCGGUGGCCCACGAGGAGCCGUCCCAUAUGGUGGCGUAGAGCGCCAUGGGCUUCGCCGGAAACUCCCCUCCCAUGGCGGCGCUCCGCCGCACCUCCCUGAUCGGCGUCUCAUCCACGUAGAACCUGCAACCACAGAACAGAAUAUGAGAUUAUCGCCAUUGGAGGAGGAGGAGGAAAGAGGAAGCAGAGGAAGAAGAAGCAGAAGAAGAAGAAGAAGAAGAGGAAGAGGACGAGGAAGGGAAGUUACAGGAUGGUGUCGGGGGACCAGAAGAUGGAGUAGCGGUGGGCUUCGCGGGUGGGGUCAAAUGGAAGGUUGUAGCGCUCCUCGCGGCCGCGGUGGGUGGAACCGUUGCCGUAGAUGUUCGUCUGCAGCCUCCAGCUGCCUCUGCGGGGGUUCCC
This 1138-nucleotide long non-coding RNA is filed under the name Spirodela polyrhiza (greater duckweed). RNAcentral's name for it is "long non-coding RNA (SPOL_LNC000513)". Lineage: Eukaryota; Viridiplantae; Streptophyta; Magnoliopsida; Alismatales; Araceae. The record is from RNAcentral.